This 301-nucleotide ribosomal RNA is filed under the name uncultured bacterium. Its description in RNAcentral is "partial 16S ribosomal RNA". It matches the Rfam family "Bacterial small subunit ribosomal RNA", at positions 509 to 809 of the family's 1533-position model. The record is from RNAcentral.
CAGUAGCCGCGGGCAUACGUAGGGUGCAAGCGUUGUCCGGAAUUAUUGGGCGUAAAGAGCUCGUAGGCGGUUUGUCGCGUCUGCUGUGAAAUCCCGAGGCUCAACCUCGGGCUUGCAGUGGGUACGGGCAGACUAGAGUGCGGUAGGGGAGAUUGGAAUUCCUGGUGUAGCGGUGGAAUGCGCAGAUAUCAGGAGGAACACCGAUGGCGAAGGCAGAUCUCUGGGCCGUAACUGACGCUGAGGAGCGAAAGCGUGGGGAGCGAACAGGAUUAGAUACCCCUGUAGUCCCUGUCUCUUAUAA